UUCCUUCUCAUUUGUUUGUUACUUGAGUAUCAGUUUUCUUUAAUUUUUAUUUUGCUCUCUCUCUCUCUCAUUUUUAUGAUAUAAAAAUAGAAAACAAUGAAACUUAGGGGAACCUUGGGUUUUCACUGGCAUUGUUUUUCGGGUAUGAUUAAUUGCAGAUAGUAACCAAUCUGCAACAGAGUUUUAAAUACUUGCACUUUCAACGGUUAAUUUUACAUUUUCUAUGGUAUAAUAAAAAUGUAGUAGCUGUAGAGUUCCUGGUUUGCCUUUGAUUUCAUAUCGACAAUCCCAUCUGAAGUUGCUCGGAAGAGCUCCCCUAAACUAUUCCUAUCAUAUACAUAUGGCUUGUUCAACAUCCUUCGCCUUUGGCAGCUCAGAAGAGUUAAUGCUCUAUUUUCCAGGUAACAAGUUUUUCCCUCAGCUAGCUUGUAACUUUAACCAAUAUGGACUUUUGAUGAUUUGGUAGUUUGAUGCAGCAUCUGAAGGAAGUGUUUUAUUUGUUAGUGACUUCAGCUAUGUAAGUUUUUUCAACUGAUUGGAGGACAGAAACUAUAACUACUUCUGGGUUCGA
Molecule: unclassified non-coding RNA, 571 nt
Filed under: Hevea brasiliensis (rubber tree)
Lineage: Eukaryota; Viridiplantae; Streptophyta; Magnoliopsida; Malpighiales; Euphorbiaceae
Source: RNAcentral